UACAGAGACUGCAAGCGUUAUUCGGAUUCACUGGGCGUAAAGGGUGCGCAGGCGGUUGGGUGUGUCAGAUGUGAAAUCCCGAGGCUCAACCUCGGAACUGCGUCUAAAACUACUCGACUAGAGUACUGGAGAGGGUAACGGAAUUCACGGUGUAGCAGUGAAAUGCGUAGAUAUCGUGAGGAACACCAGAGGCGAAGGCGGUUACCUGGACAGUUACUGACGCUCAGGCACGAAAGCAUGGGGAGCAAAAGGG
Molecule: ribosomal RNA, 253 nt
Filed under: uncultured bacterium
Lineage: Bacteria
Description: partial 16S ribosomal RNA
Rfam family: Bacterial small subunit ribosomal RNA
Source: RNAcentral